Molecule: ribosomal RNA, 498 nt
Filed under: uncultured bacterium
Lineage: Bacteria
Description: partial 16S ribosomal RNA
Rfam family: Bacterial small subunit ribosomal RNA
Source: RNAcentral
ACUCAAAUGAAUAGACGGGGACCCGCACAAGCAGUGGAGUAUGUGGUUUAAUUCGAAGCAACGCGAAGAACCUUACCAGGUCUUGACAUCUGGGUGAAAGCACUAGAGAUAGUGCCCUCCUUCGGGACACCCAAGACAGGUGGUGCAUGGUUGUCGUCAGCUCGUGUCGUGAGAUGUUGGGUUAAGUCCCGCAACGAGCGCAACCCUUGAUCUUAGUUGCCAGCACUUUGGGUGGGCACUCUAGGAUGACUGCCGGUGACAAACCGGAGGAAGGUGGGGAUGACGUCAAAUCAUCAUGCCCCUUAUGACCUGGGCUACACACGUACUACAAUGGCCGGUACAACGGGCAGCGAAGGAGCGAUCUGGAGCGAAUCCUUAUAAGCCGGUCUCAGUUCGGAUUGCAGGCUGCAACUCGCCUGCAUGAAGUCGGAAUUGCUAGUAAUCGCGGAUCAGCAUGCCGCGGUGAAUACGUUCCCGGGUCUUGUACACACCGCCCGU